Molecule: non-coding RNA, 112 nt
Organism: Acanthosepion pharaonis
Lineage: Eukaryota; Metazoa; Mollusca; Cephalopoda; Sepiida; Sepiidae
Source: the annotation of a GenBank genome assembly
UAUGGUCACAUCACGUUGAAACACCGAUUCCGGUAAAAUCACCGAAGAUAAGCAUCGUCGAGCUUCAUCAGUACCUAGAUGGGUGACCGCUUGGGAAUAGCAAGUGCUGUGA